AUGUCCUACACAAGUUCUAGUGUUGGGGGAGAAGAAAGGUUCUUUGAUGUGUCGGUCAGCGAGCCAACAAGUCCAAAAACAGGAGCGCUCAACGCUGAUCAAGGAGGAGUUAACGCUGAGGCAUAUUCCACACCUAAGGCUCCUGAUACAACAAUGAAGUUUGAAAGUUUUGAGGAGGAUGUUGCUCACUACAAGCUAUAUGCACUCAGAAAUGGAUUUGGGGCAAGGAUAGAGUACACAAGAACACUGAAGGACAACACAGUGAGCAGAGCACUACUGGUGUGUGGGAAAGGCGGCAAGCCAAAGAAGAAGAAGGAGGAGGUGCAGGAUGUACUGAACCCAGAAGGCAUCAUGAAGAAGAGAAAAAGGCGUAAGGUUAAGAGGUCUGAGUGUCCAGCCCACCUUUACCUUAUGCACAAGGAUGCGUGGUGGAGAGUCGAACGCUUUGAUGACAACCACAACCAUCCACUGAUAAGAAAGCCAUCUCUGACAAAAUUUCUAGCCUCACAUAGGAACAUUCCCAAAGACGAGCAAGAUGUCUUACGGAUUCUACAUGAAUGCAACAUAGACACCGCAAGGCAAAUGCAACUAAUUUCAUGGUUCUAUCGUGAUGCUGAGAAUGUACCAUACACAACACAGGACCUUGCGAAUCAGCGUGCCAAGUUUCGCAAGGAGUACCUUAAUGUAGACGUGGGGAGCACAAUUGCAUACUUUGAGGAGCUCAGGGCAAAGGAUCCAGUUGAGGAGUUUGAGGAAAAAUGGUGGAAGAUGUUGGACGAUCAUGGGAAAAUGGACAACGAGCAUUUCCACUGGCUGUGGGAAAACAGGGAAUGCUGGGUCCCGGUGUACUACAUGCACGACUUCUUCCCAUUCUUGCAGACAACGGCAAGGAGCGAGGGAUUCAAUGCUGUGUUGAAGAAGUACGUCAACCCAAAUAACUCGCUAGUGGAAUUUGCAAAACAGUACACUGAGAUACAGGAGAAGGUGAUGGUGAGCGUGACAAAAGAGCACCUGGAAACAGUGUACAAAGAGGUGGAUACAUACUCCUUCAACCCACUCAAGUUACAGGUGCAGGGCCUCUACACGCAUAAUAUUUUCACCAAAUUCCAGAUGGAGAUGAAGGUGAAAACUGGCUACAGAUGUGACACGUUGCAACAUGGGUCAUUCAAAGUUGGCUCAGUCAUAGGAAUCAUACCAAAAUAUGGGGACAGGGACUACCAUGUGCAAGCAAACAUGGAUGAAGGGACAUAUUCAUGCACUUGGUGCAAGUUUGAGCGAGAUGGUAUACUAUGCGCACAUGUGUUACGAGUGAUGGACCAAAUCGGGGUCUACGAGAUACCUGAGAAGUAUAUUCUAAAGAGGUGGACUUGGGAUCAACAGGAAGAUCUAAUCAAACCUGAUUUUGAACAACCAACAGUUAGUAAGAGCAUGCCAGAGGAGGGAAAAAGCGUCAUGCGAUAUACAUCAAUGCUAAGGGACUUCAAGGCAACAGCCAAGGACGCUUGCCUCAUAGAUGAUGGGGCCAGGGUGGCCAAGAAGCACCUAUAUGCUUUCAAGGAAGAAAUGGACGCGCUAACAAAAAGCCAACGUAAGAAGGCCAGAAAGGACAAGGAAGAAGCUAGAGGAUCGUUCCAAUCACAACAAGAUCCAUGUUCUAUUCCAGUGGUCAUAACGAGUGAAGCUGUCCAUGCCGAACAGCAAACAAGCAUACCUAACAUGGACAACCCAAACACGGGACAAACAAGCAUCCCUGUGACAAUACAAGCUAGCGCCAACAUGCCAGCCGCUGCAUCCCAUUCCUCGAACACAAAAACGAUACUAGACCCUCCGAAGACUGUCACGAAAGGACGGUCGAAAACAAAGAAGCAUCAACAUCCCUUUGACAUUGCAAAACCAGCAAAACAAAGAAAGUGCAGUGUUUGCGGCAGCGUGCACCACGACAAGCGCAUGUGCACGUCUCCUCUAGCAAGAUGA
Molecule: ribosomal RNA, 1974 nt
Filed under: Triticum aestivum (bread wheat)
Lineage: Eukaryota; Viridiplantae; Streptophyta; Magnoliopsida; Poales; Poaceae
Description: partial small subunit ribosomal RNA
Source: RNAcentral